UACAGAGGUCCCAAGCGUUGUUCGGAUUCAUUGGGCGUAAAGGGUGCGUAGGCGGCGCGGUAAGUCGGGUGUGAAAUCUCGGGGCUUAACCCUGGAAGUGCCCCAGAAACGGUCGGACUCGAGUGCUGGAGAGGGUCGUGGAAUUCCCGGUGUAGCGGUGAAAUGCGUAGAGAUCGGGAGGAACACCAGAGGCGAAGGCGGCGACCUGGACAGUGACUGACACUCAACUGCGAAAGCGUGGGGAGCAAACAGG
This 253-nucleotide ribosomal RNA is filed under the name uncultured bacterium. Its description in RNAcentral is "partial 16S ribosomal RNA". It matches the Rfam family "Bacterial small subunit ribosomal RNA", at positions 524 to 776 of the family's 1533-position model. The record is from RNAcentral.